AGCUUUGCGCAGUGGCAGUAUCGUAGCCAAUGAGGUUUAUCCGAGGCGCGAUUAUUGCUAAUUGUAUUUGUCCAAAGCCAUGCAACCCAGUGAUUGGCUCCCCAGUCAUUACAGAUCUUCCUUCACCAGAUUGGU
RNAcentral lists this small nuclear RNA (135 nucleotides) under Neogale vison (American mink). Its description in RNAcentral is "Neovison vison (American mink) U4 spliceosomal RNA (ENSNVIG00000012835.1)". The stretch from base 1 to 67 matches the Rfam family "U4 spliceosomal RNA". Lineage: Eukaryota; Metazoa; Chordata; Mammalia; Carnivora; Mustelidae. The record is from RNAcentral.